GCAAGUCGAGCGAACAGAUAAGGAGCUUGCUCCUUUGACGUUAGCGGCGGACGGGUGAGUAACACGUGGGUAACCUACCUAUAAGACUGGAAUAACUUCGGGAAACCGAAGCUAAUGCCGGAUAACAUGUAGAACCGCAUGGUUCUACAGUGAAAGAUGGCCUUGCUAUCACUUAUAGAUGGACCCGCGCCGUAUUAGCUAGUUGGUAAGGUAACGGCUUACCAAGGCAACGAUACGUAGCCGACCUGAGAGGGUGAUCGGCCACACUGGAACUGAGACACGGUCCAGACUCCUACGGGAGGCAGCAGUAGGGAAUCUUCCGCAAUGGGCGAAAGCCUGACGGAGCAACGCCGCGUGAGUGAUGAAGGUCUUCGGAUCGUAAAGCUCUGUUAUUAGGGAAGAACAAGUGCGUAAGUAACUGUGCGCACCUUGACGGUACCUAAUCAGAAAGCCACGGCUAACUACGUGCCAGCAGCCGCGGUAAUACGUAGGUGGCAAGCGUUAUCCGGAAUUAUUGGGCGUAAAGCGCGCGUAGGCGGUUUCUUAAGUCUGAUGUGAAAGCCCACGGCUCAACCGUGGAGGGUCAUUGGAAACUGGGAGACUUGAGUGCAGAAGAGGAAAGUGGAAUUCCAUGUGUAGCGGUGAAAUGCGCAGAGAUAUGGAGGAACACCAGUGGCGAAGGCGACUUUCUGGUCUGUAACUGACGCUGAUGUGCGAAAGCGUGGGGAUCAAACAGGAUUAGAUACCCUGGUAGUCCACGCCGUAAACGAUGAGUGCUAAGUGUUAGGGGGUUUCCGCCCCUUAGUGCUGCAGCUAACGCAUUAAGCACUCCGCCUGGGGAGUACGACCGCAAGGUUGAAACUCAAAGGAAUUGACGGGGACCCGCACAAGCGGUGGAGCAUGUGGUUUAAUUCGAAGCAACGCGAAGAACCUUACCAAAUCUUGACAUCCUUUGACCACUCUGGAGACAGAGUUUUCCCCUUCGGGGGACAAAGUGACAGGUGGUGCAUGGUUGUCGUCAGCUCGUGUCGUGAGAUGUUGGGUUAAGUCCCGCAACGAGCGCAACCCUUAAGCUUAGUUGCCAUCAUUAAGUUGGGCACUCUAAGUUGACUGCCGGUGACAAACCGGAGGAAGGUGGGGAUGACGUCAAAUCAUCAUGCCCCUUAUGA
RNAcentral lists this ribosomal RNA (1169 nucleotides) under Staphylococcus kloosii. RNAcentral describes it as "bacterial SSU rRNA". It matches the Rfam family "Bacterial small subunit ribosomal RNA", at positions 57 to 1207 of the family's 1533-position model. Lineage: Bacteria; Bacillati; Bacillota; Bacilli; Caryophanales; Staphylococcaceae. The record is from RNAcentral.